Molecule: ribosomal RNA, 338 nt
Filed under: uncultured Gammaproteobacteria bacterium
Lineage: Bacteria; Pseudomonadati; Pseudomonadota; Gammaproteobacteria
Description: bacterial SSU rRNA
Rfam family: Bacterial small subunit ribosomal RNA
Source: RNAcentral
AAGCGGGGGAUCUUCGGACCUUGCGCGAUUGGAUGAGCCGAUGCCGGAUUAGCUUGUUGGCGGGGUAAUGGCCCACCAAGGCAACGAUCCGUAGCUGGUUUGAGAGGAUGAUCAGCCACACUGGGACUGAGACACGGCCCAGACUCCUACGGGAGGCAGCAGUGGGGAAUAUUGGACAAUGGGCGCAAGCCUGAUCCAACAAUGCCGCGUGUGUGAAGAAGGCCUUCGGGUUGUAAAGCACUUUUAUCAGGAGCGAAAUACCACGGGUUAAUACCCUAUGGGGCUGACGGUACCUGAGGAAUAAGCACCGGCUAAAUUUGUGCCAGCAGCCGCGGAAU